Molecule: long non-coding RNA, 366 nt
Organism: Neoarius graeffei (lesser salmon catfish)
Lineage: Eukaryota; Metazoa; Chordata; Actinopteri; Siluriformes; Ariidae
Exons: 3
Source: RefSeq, a predicted model, not a curated record
AUCCAGGUCAGCACUGCCUAUGUCCAGCUCAGGUCCCGUCCUUCCUGCCCUGUGCAUUAUAUGUAAAAAAAAAAAACCCUCAAAUUCGUCUUAAAGGGAGGCAAACGACAAAGGGAAGCUCUUUCAAAAGCUGAGACCUUAACAGCAGGCAAGUUGCAGACUGCUGCUGAGACUAAAGAUGACCACAGUAUUCUGGUACACAUUAAGGACAAAGACUGUGUGGCUCUGGAGGUGCAGUACCACAAGAGCUGCUACCAGCAGUACACCAGAUUUCUGAAUGAGCCUGCUAGACAAGAGAAGGACAAGUCAUUGCCUGGAUGCUGACCCCUGCCUUUUUGCACCAUGCCACAGGACUUAUAUAUAUAU